AUUGAACGCUGGCGGCAGGCCUAACACAUGCAAGUCGAGCGGAUGAAGGGAGCUUGCUCCUGGAUUCAGCGGCGGACGGGUGAGUAAUGCCUAGGAAUCUGCCUGGUAGUGGGGGAUAACGUCCGGAAACGGGCGCUAAUACCGCAUACGUCCUGAGGGAGAAAGUGGGGGAUCUUCGGACCUCACGCUAUCAGAUGAGCCUAGGUCGGAUUAGCUAGUUGGUGGGGUAAAGGCCUACCAAGGCGACGAUCCGUAACUGGUCUGAGAGGAUGAUCAGUCACACUGGAACUGAGACACGGUCCAGACUCCUACGGGAGGCAGCAGUGGGGAAUAUUGGACAAUGGGCGAAAGCCUGAUCCAGUCAUGCCGCGUGUGUGAAGAAGGUCUUCGGAUUGUAAAACACUUUUAGUUGGGAGGAAGGGCAGUAAGUUAAUACCUUGCUGUUUUGACGUUACCAACAGAAUAAGCACCGGCUAACUUCGUG
RNAcentral lists this ribosomal RNA (484 nucleotides) under uncultured bacterium. Its description in RNAcentral is "partial 16S ribosomal RNA". It matches the Rfam family "Bacterial small subunit ribosomal RNA", at positions 30 to 507 of the family's 1533-position model. The record is from RNAcentral.